Molecule: ribosomal RNA, 253 nt
Filed under: uncultured bacterium
Lineage: Bacteria
Description: partial 16S ribosomal RNA
Rfam family: Bacterial small subunit ribosomal RNA
Source: RNAcentral
UACGAGAGGCCCAAACGUUAUUCGGAUUUACUGGGCUUAAAGAGUCCGUAGGCGGCGCAGAAAGUGGGGUGUGAAAUCCCUCGGCUCAACCGAGGAAUUGCGCUCCAAACUCCUGCGCUUGAGGAAUCUAGAGGUGAGCAGAACAGAUGGUGGAGCGGUGAAAUGCGUUGAUAUCAUCUGGAAUACCGGAGGCGAAGGCGGCUCACUGGGGAUUUUCUGACGCUGAGGGACGAAAGCCAGGGUAGCGAACGGG